CCCCACACUGGUACUGAGACACGGACCAGACUCCUACGGGAGGCAGCAGUGAGGAAUAUUGGACAAUGGAGGCAACUCUGAUCCAGCCAUGCCGCGUGUAGGAAGACUGCCCUAUGGGUUGUAAACUACUUUUAUAUGGGAAGAAUAAGAUCUACGUGUAGAUNGAUGACGGUACCAUAAGAAUAAGCACCGGCUAACUCCGUGCCAGCAGCCGCGGUAAUACGGAGGGUGCAAGCGUUAUCCGGAAUCAUUGGGUUUAAAGGGUCCGUAGGCGGGCAUAUAAGUCAGUGGUGAAAGUCUGUGGCUNAACCAUAGAAUUGCCAUUGAUACUGUAUGUCUUGAAUUAUUGUGAAGUGGUUAGAAUAUGUAGUGUAGCGGUGAAAUGCUUAGAGAUUACAUAGAAUACCGAUUGCGAAGGCAGAUCACUAACAAUAUAUUGACGCUGAUGGACGAAAGCGUAGGUAGCGAACAGGAUUAGAUACCCUGGUAGUCUACGCCGUAAACGAUGGAUACUAGUUGUUUGGUUUUCGGACUGAGUGACUAAGCGAAAGUGAUAAGUAUCCCACCUGGGGAGUACGUUCGCAAGAAUGAAACUCAAAGGAAUUGACGGGGGCCCGCACNAGCGGUGGAGCAUGUGGUUUAAUUCGAUGAUACGCGAGGAACCUUACCAGGGCUUAAAUGUAGUCUGACAGCUUUAGAGAUAGAGUUUUCUUCGGACAGAUUACAAGGUGCUGCAUGGUUGUCGUCAGCUCGUGCCGUGAGGUGUCAGGUUAAGUCCUAUAACGAGCGCAACCCCUGUGGUUAGUUGCCAGCGAGUAAUGUCGGGAACUCUAGCCAGACUGCCGGUGCAAACCGUGAGGAAGGUGGGGAUGACGUCAAAUCAUCACGGCCCUUACGUCCUGGGCCACACACGUGCUACAAUGGUAGGGACAGAGAGCAGCCACUUAGCGAUAAGGAGCGAAUCUAUAAACCCUAUCUCAGUUCGGAUUGGAGUCUGCAACUCGACUCCAUGAAGCUGGAAUCGCUAGUAAUCGGAUAUCAGCCAUGAUCCGGUGAAUACGUUCCCGGGCCUUGUACACACCGCCCGUCAAGCCAUGGAAGCUGGGGGUNCCUGAAGUCC
RNAcentral lists this ribosomal RNA (1120 nucleotides) under Dokdonia genika. RNAcentral's name for it is "bacterial SSU rRNA". It matches the Rfam family "Bacterial small subunit ribosomal RNA", at positions 306 to 1429 of the family's 1533-position model. Lineage: Bacteria; Pseudomonadati; Bacteroidota; Flavobacteriia; Flavobacteriales; Flavobacteriaceae. The record is from RNAcentral.